CAUGAUUUACAUUUGAGUGAGUGGCGAACUGGUGAGUAACACGUGGGAAACCUGCCCAGAAGCGGGGGAUAACACCUGGAAACAGAUGCUAAUACCGCAUAACAACUUGGACCGCAUGGUCCGAGUUUGAAAGAUGGCUUCGGCUAUCACUUUUGGAUGGUCCCGCGGCGUAUUAGCUAGAUGGUGGGGUAACGGCUCACCAUGGCAAUGAUACGUAGCCGACCUGAGAGGGUAAUCGGCCACAUUGGGACUGAGACACGGCCCAAACUCCUACGGGAGGCAGCAGUAGGGAAUCUUCCACAAUGGACGAAAGUCUGAUGGAGCAACGCCGCGUGAGUGAAGAAGGGUUUCGGCUCGUAAAACUCUGUUGUUAAAGAAGAACAUAUCUGAGAGUAACUGUUCAGGUAUUGACGGUAUUUAACCAGAAAGCCACGGCUAACUACGUGCCAGCAGCCGCGGUAAUACGUAGGUGGCAAGCGUUGUCCGGAUUUAUUGGGCGUAAAGCGAGCGCAGGCGGUUUUUUAAGUCUGAUGUGAAAGCCUUCGGCUCAACCGAAGAAGUGCAUCGGAAACUGGGAAACUUGAGUGCAGAAGAGGACAGUGGAACUCCAUGUGUAGCGGUGAAAUGCGUAGAUAUAUGGAAGAACACCAGUGGCGAAGGCGGCUGUCUGGUCUGUAACUGACGCUGAGGCUCGAAAGUAUGGGUAGCAAACAGGAUUAGAUACCCUGGUAGUCCAUACCGUAAACGAUGAAUGCUAAGUGUUGGAGGGUUUCCGCCCUUCAGUGCUGCAGCUAACGCAUUAAGCAUUCCGCCUGGGGAGUACGGCCGCAAGGCUGAAACUCAAAGGAAUUGACGGGGGCCCGCACAAGCGGUGGAGCAUGUGGUUUAAUUCGAAGCUACGCGAAGAACCUUACCAGGUCUUGACAUACUAUGCAAAUCUAAGAGAUUAGACGUUCCCUUCGGGGACAUGGAUACAGGUGGUGCAUGGUUGUCGUCAGCUCGUGUCGUGAGAUGUUGGGUUAAGUCCCGCAACGAGCGCAACCCUUAUUAUCAGUUGCCAGCAUUAAGUUGGGCACUCUGGUGAGACUGCCGGUGACAAACCGGAGGAAGGUGGGGAUGACGUCAAAUCAUCAUGCCCCUUAUGACCUGGGCUACACACGUGCUACAAUGGAUGGUACAACGAGUUGCGAACUCGCGAGAGUAAGCUAAUCUCUUAAAGCCAUUCUCAGUUCGGAUUGUAGGCUGCAACUCGCCUACAUGAAGUCG
This 1266-nucleotide ribosomal RNA is filed under the name Lactiplantibacillus plantarum. RNAcentral's name for it is "bacterial SSU rRNA". It matches the Rfam family "Bacterial small subunit ribosomal RNA", at positions 74 to 1328 of the family's 1533-position model. The record is from RNAcentral. Lineage: Bacteria; Bacillati; Bacillota; Bacilli; Lactobacillales; Lactobacillaceae.